CAGAGACCCAAAAUGCUACUUACAGGCUCCCCAAUGGAAGGGCCUGCACCACACCUUUCAAUGGCCAAAGGCCAUAAUAAACACCCUCCCUUACCCAAUAAUACACGUGCCUAAGUUGAGCCUACAGCCCCAACAUUCCUAAGCAGAGCACAUAACGCUGUUUGCUAGCCCCUCUAAGAUGUUGCACGCCUUAACGGUUUCUAGCACAAGGGAAUAAAGCAGGGUUUUACCUAUUAAAAACCGGGUGGCAAAGUUUCU
Pelobates cultripes (western spadefoot toad) is the source of this 258-nucleotide non-coding RNA. The record is from the annotation of a GenBank genome assembly. Lineage: Eukaryota; Metazoa; Chordata; Amphibia; Anura; Pelobatidae.